GAUGAACGCUGGCGGCGUGCCUAAUACAUGCAAGUCGAGCGAACAGAUGAGGAGCUUGCUCCUCUGACGUUAGCGGCGGACGGGUGAGUAACACGUGGAUAACCUACCUAUAAGACUGGGAUAACUUCGGGAAACCGGAGCUAAUACCGGAUAAUAUAUUGAACCGCAUGGUUCAAUAGUGAAAGACGGUUUUGCUGUCACUUAUAGAUGGAUCCGCGCCGCAUUAGCUAGUUGGUAAGGUAACGGCUUACCAAGGCAACGAUGCGUAGCCGACCUGAGAGGGUGAUCGGCCACACUGGAACUGAGACACGGUCCAGACUCCUACGGGAGGCAGCAGUAGGGAAUCUUCCGCAAUGGGCGAAAGCUUGACGGAGCAACGCCGCGUGAGUGAUGAAGGUCUUCGGAUCGUAAAACUCUGUUAUUAGGGAAGAACAAAUGCGUAAGUAACUAUGCACGUCUUGACGGUACCUAAUCAGAAAGCCACGGCUAACUACGUG
Molecule: ribosomal RNA, 497 nt
Filed under: uncultured bacterium
Lineage: Bacteria
Description: partial 16S ribosomal RNA
Rfam family: Bacterial small subunit ribosomal RNA
Source: RNAcentral